This 253-nucleotide ribosomal RNA is filed under the name uncultured bacterium. RNAcentral's name for it is "partial 16S ribosomal RNA". It matches the Rfam family "Bacterial small subunit ribosomal RNA", at positions 524 to 776 of the family's 1533-position model. The record is from RNAcentral.
UACGUAGGGUGCAAGCGUUGUCCGGAAUUAUUGGGCGUAAAGAGCUCGUAGGCGGUCUGUCACGUCGGAUGUGAAAACUCGGGGCUCAACCCCGAGCCUGCAUACGAUACGGGCAGACUUGAGUUCGGCAGGGGAGACUGGAAUUCCUGGUGUAGCGGUGAAAUGCGUUGAGAUCGGAAGGAACGCCUGCGGCGAAAGCGAGGUCCUGGACUCUGACUGACGUUGAGGCGCGAAAGCCAGGGGAGCGAACGGG